Colius striatus (speckled mousebird) is the source of this 291-nucleotide long non-coding RNA. RefSeq lists it as uncharacterized. The transcript is spliced from 3 exons. Lineage: Eukaryota; Metazoa; Chordata; Aves; Coliiformes; Coliidae. The record is from RefSeq and is a predicted model, not a curated record.
UGGAGUCGCAUUACAUCCUCCCGUUCCCCUGAAAACGUUUAUUUACACGUUGAAGUUACUGGAUGCUUGUUCUGACAAAGUGACCACCUAUAAACUUCUCAUGGAUGUUGACUGGGACUUCAUGGCAGAAAUCUCACUUAAAAACAACUGGAAAUGACUUUACCUUGGCCCAAGUCACAGUGCAGCAGCCACCUCCUCCUUCUCCAGCCCUGCUCAUUAUCUCAUGACUUUAAAAAUAACUCCGUGAAAAGUACAGAAGCCUAUUUUGUGCAGAAACUGAACAGAAGGUAU